UCAAACACACCUACUAAACCUGGUAAUUAGCUAAUUAAGUGUUUGAGCUGGGAAAUCUGCAAACUGUGUUGGAUUCUGGCCCUCCAGGACCAGAACUGGGGAACCUUAUUCUAUAUGCAGUAAAAAUGGGGUCCCCAAAUUUUUGACGACCACGGACUGGUUUAGUUUGUGCGAAAAAAAUCAUGGACUGAUAAAAAAAAAAAGAUGUGGCUGAAAAUCAUAUACGCCUAAUUUAUUUUGAAAAUUAAGCAACCGCCCGGUGUCAGCUCAUGGACCGGGCUUUAGAAACUGCUACACCAUACGCAUAACAGAUAUCUGUACACUUGAACAACUGGAGCACCACACACGCAUGCUCAUAAUAGGAGAACUUCAGAUGUUACAGAUGUCCUCUGUGAUAAAGUUGUUAAUGUUCUACUUGCACUAGACUACACACAUUACGCACCUGUACAAACGCUAUAAACACACCACAAACGUAUACCAUUUCUGUAUUGCUCCAACACAAAGACAUUCACUAAAAUUCACAUUCAGAUAAAUUUCUUGUAUUCUAGCGAUAUGUGCUUAUAAAUAUUCAUAUUCACAUUUGCAUUUACAGUAAUUUAAUUACACUGAAACCACUUGCAUAACGUCACCUACUGAUGUUAUAGGUUUACUGGUUUAUACGGUUCAGGUAAAAUCUCUUGCUUUCGGGCAUGGCAGCAAGCACACAUACACGAUAAGCCCAACGUGUGUGUUGCCACCUUGGGCAGAGCAGCAAGGAGAGCGAUGGGGUGCUGUGGGAUUUGGUAUUGGGGGUGACUUAGGGAAGGACAAUUGUACCAACACACACCCACAUACUGGCGGCCCUCAUAAGCCCAUAUUUAACAGCUCUGCAGCAUGGCUCCAGUCGGAGUCUCUCUCCAGUGCACUUUGUCAUUACUUUAGCGCACCCCGUCAUCACCGCUCUCCUUAAAGAACACAGCCUGUGUUGCCAAACGUCAGGUCUCAUCACUAUAUUCCCUCUCUGAAUCAUAAGCCUCCGGGGACCCUCCCGCUUCUCCACCUCCUCCUCCUCCUUCUCCCCUUCAUUUUGCUUUUGUUUCAUCUCGAGGUCGAGUUUCCUUCCAUUUUUCUGCUUUCGAGCUUUCCCUCCUGCUGCCAUCCACUGAACACGGAGUAUAAACAGUGGCCGCAGUCACAUUUUAUUAUGCGCUCGCACUGUGUGCCAAAGCUACAGUCUGGAGCUGGAUGCUGCACUGUCCAAAUGCUUUAUGUGUGUGUGUGUGUGUGUAUGUGUAUAUAUAUAUAUACACACACACACACACACUAUUGUGAUUAUGUGUUCAUUCAUAUCUUCCCUAAUUGCUUACCCAGUACAGCACAGUGAGCCUGGACCCUACCCCAGGAAGCACAGGGCACGAGCCAGGGACAUCCUUGGUUGGGGUGGCAGUACAUUGCAGGGCACACAAUGGGCAAUAUAGAGACCCCAGAUCCCUUAAUUACAUACAGAUGCUCUGCAGCUUACAAUGCAACUUUCCGAUGAGCACAUCGUAAGUUCAUAUGACACGCUUGGGCAUUUAGCAGACAAGGGGAACAUUUGGUUAAAAGCAGAAAAAAAUGCUGUAUGAUACAUCCUUAAACACUGUAUGAGAUGUUCACACUUGCAAUCAUAACAGAGACUGGAAGUGUGACUGGGUGGAUACUGCCAUCGCUUGGCAUCAGUAGAAAGUAUCCUACGGCAUAUUGCUUGCCCAGGAACAGAUCGAAAUUCAAAGUUUGGUAAUUACUGAAUAUACAUCACUAUUUCGCCAUCAUUUAGUAGAAAUGUUGUAGUUCGAACCAUCCUAAAGUCGGGGACAUCUGUAUUUUCGGGCUGCAACAGACCACACGAUGUGCCGAAAGUAGAAGGUCCACACAUAGAGUGGACCUCUUAGGAUCUUAUGAUAUACAUGUAUAUGCAUGUGAUGUCAGAAUUUUGGCAUAUGUAGGUUCUGCUUCUCACUGAAUCACAUGACCUCCAAUGGAGGGACAAGAAACAGAGAUGAGCCAGGAGCGAGACUAACAGAAAAUGGCCGGUGAGUGAUGGUUAUUUGAGGUGACCUCAUCAUCAUCAGGAUGGCCGUGUGAGUCACCAGGCAUCACCGGGAUGGGAAGGCGCAAGACUUUGAGACAGGAGAACAGACUGGCACUUGAGUCAGUUCUGCAGAUGGAAGAUGGAGAGAGCAAGUGCAAUAACAAAAACUAAGGGAUUACAAGUGGAAUUCACAGGUUCAGGACUCGGAUCUGACUUGGAUACAGAAGAGGAAUUAUUCUUUUGAAAAAUGAAAGAGUCCAAAUGUGGAUGGAGGUGGUCCAUUUUGCACAUCGAUGGGCUUUCCUGACAAACCUCGCCACGCACGCUCCAAGAGUCAAGGGCAACCUUAAUGGAGAUUCGCUUCUCUCAAGCAAGGCCUGUAUUUCAAUGGAUUUGGUGGAAUACAGCCACAUGUACACAAAAAGAUGCUCUUCACAGCAGGGAAGACCCUGGAGCAAAGAAUGGAUUCGUCCAAAAAAUAAAGCAAAAUUUAAAAGAAGAAGCAAACCACCAUACUGGGAGUGUCAUUGCAGCAUGCCAAUAUUCAGCUAAACGUGACACCAGUGAAACAGUGCAAAUAAAAUCUGCAAAGCAAGCGGCUAGACAACAGCAAUGACCUCAGCAGUCAGCACCCCACCCCGUCUGGGCCCAGCCCAUCCAGGAAACGUCGCCCAGGCAGGAGCCGCUCUCAUAAAUCAUGCCCCCCAGGCUUUCCCUCUGUGCAGCCGCAGGCCAAUUGGGGACCGGCUUUGGGGACGCCCCCAUUUUCCACACAUGGACCGGAAGCAGCUUACCGAAUGGCACGAGCCAGACUCAUGCUGCAAUUGAAAUAGAAUUAUAAUAGAAGAAUAAUGAAUGAAAUAAGUCAACAGCACAGGACUGUUUCGCUUACGCAGCUUGGCACAUUGCGACAGGAAUGUCUGACAAGUUUCCUAAUAUGCAACUCUUACGAUGUUGCCUUUCAUCAUAUGCGACUAGCCCAGAUCGCAUGGAGGCAUGAAGCAGACCCACGCUUGCCUCCGCUGCCUACGGCCACUUCAUUUGAGGGAAUGCGGCGUUACCACUAAAGUACACAUCACUGUGUUUCCUUGCUGGCCUGCAGCAGGCACAUCCUGCUGUGAACCAUCCCACCCAGCUGGGCCACAUCACCGUAUGGGCAGGAAACAACUUGGAUGCUAAAUGCCACAGCGUCAGACCAGAGAAGAGUUUGCCCUGAAAUGAAAUCUGCUGUUUUUUUCCAGAAAAAAGGACAAUAUUCCCCCAAAGCAAAGAGAAGCCUUUAUAUGUGAUAAUUACCAGUAUUCUCUCAUUAGUCCACAGUGCUACAUUAUUUAUGAAUGUCAGUUUAGCAUUCCUUGUUGUUAUGGCCUUCUCUCCGGCAUAAUCAGUCUGCAUCCCCAGGCUGGCUGUAACUGCAGUGUAACUCAAUACAUGCUCCUGAACUGGUAUCGGACUGAUGUUGGUCGCUGUUAUACGAUUGACCUGUUAUACAUCACUUCUGAAUUAUUUGUGAAGAGAAGCCGAAUUUGCGAUUUAGGGUUCUCAAAGGAAUGGCCGUCAGGUUCGAAGGUCAGUGAAUAGAAAUCCGAAUAAACUGACAAAAUAGGUUUUGCUUCAAUUUGCCAGCCAGUAGGACAGUCAUAUCAUAAUGGGCCGAAUGGUCUGACGGUGUUUCAAGAUACGUGAUGGCUUGUAGACAGGAAUGUGUGCCAAUGAAGAGUCUUAAGGUUUGAUAUCUUCUCACAUGGAUGUCUGUGUUAAAGAUUUUCUAUAUAAAGCCGAGGUGUUUUGUCAUUGUGCGCAUACAUUCACAUGUGGGACUUGCUGUUCAAUAAAACUUGCAUUUUAAUUGGGAGAUUUAACUUUUAGAUAAACCCACGUUUAGGUAAAUGCAUGCACACCAUGCCUCAGAACUCUUAAAUUACUGUGUUAUAAUAAUGCUAAUAUAUUAAUAAUAAUCAUUAUAAUAUUAACAACAAUAAUAAUA
Long non-coding RNA from Brienomyrus brachyistius, 4037 nucleotides. RefSeq lists it as uncharacterized. The transcript is spliced from 8 exons. The record is from RefSeq and is a predicted model, not a curated record. Lineage: Eukaryota; Metazoa; Chordata; Actinopteri; Osteoglossiformes; Mormyridae.